This 440-nucleotide ribosomal RNA is filed under the name uncultured bacterium. Its description in RNAcentral is "bacterial SSU rRNA". It matches the Rfam family "Bacterial small subunit ribosomal RNA", at positions 8 to 491 of the family's 1533-position model. The record is from RNAcentral.
AGAGUUUGAUCCUGGCUCAGAACGAACGCUGGCGGCAGGCCUCAAACAUGCAAGUCUAGGGGGUGUAGCAAUACAUCACCGGCGGACGGGUGCGUAACGCGUGGGAAUAUACCUAUUGGUUCGGAACAACUGAGGGAAACUUCAGCUAAUACCGGAUAAGUCCUUACGGAGAAAGAUUUAUCGCCAAUAGAUUAACCCCGCGUUCGAUUAGCUAGUUGGUGGGGUAACGGCCCACCAAGGCGACGAUCGAUAGCUGUUCUGAGAGGAAGAUCAGCCACACUGGGACUGAGACACGGCCCAGACUCCUACGGGAGGCAGCAGUUGGGAAUCUUGGACAAUGGGGGAAACCCUGAUCCAGCCAUGCCGCGUGAGUGAUGAAGGCCUUCGGGUUGUAAAACUCUUUCGCGCACGACGAUAAUGACGGUAGUGCGAGAAGAAGC